This 255-nucleotide ribosomal RNA is filed under the name uncultured bacterium. RNAcentral's name for it is "partial 16S ribosomal RNA". It matches the Rfam family "Bacterial small subunit ribosomal RNA", at positions 524 to 776 of the family's 1533-position model. The record is from RNAcentral.
UACGUAGGCAGCGAGCGUUGUUCGGAAUUACUGGGCGUAAAGAGUGUGUAGGCGGUGCUCCCAGUCUGUUGUGAAAUCUCCCGGCCUUAACUGGGAGGGUGCAGCGGAAACUAGAGUGCUAGAGGGUGGGAGAGGUAAGCGGAAUUCCGUGGUGUAGCGGUGAAAUGCGUAGAUAUCAGGAGGAACACCUGUGGUGUAGACAGCUUACUGGACCACUUCUGACGCUGAGACACGAAAGCGUGGGUAGCAAACAGG